This 586-nucleotide ribosomal RNA is filed under the name Trichoderma atroviride. RNAcentral describes it as "eukaryotic LSU rRNA". It matches the Rfam family "Eukaryotic large subunit ribosomal RNA", at positions 39 to 648 of the family's 3401-position model. The record is from RNAcentral. Lineage: Eukaryota; Fungi; Ascomycota; Sordariomycetes; Hypocreales; Hypocreaceae.
CAUAUCAAUAAGCGGAGGAAAAGAAACCAACAGGGAUUGCCCCAGUAACGGCGAGUGAAGCGGCAACAGCUCAAAUUUGAAAUCUGGCCCCUAGGGUCCGAGUUGUAAUUUGUAGAGGAUGCUUUUGGUGAGGUGCCGCCCGAGUUCCCUGGAACGGGACGCCGCAGAGGGUGAGAGCCCCGUCUGGCUGGCCACCGAGCCUCUGUAAAGCUCCUUCGACGAGUCGAGUAGUUUGGGAAUGCUGCUCAAAAUGGGAGGUAUAUGUCUUCUAAAGCUAAAUAUUGGCCAGAGACCGAUAGCGCACAAGUAGAGUGAUCGAAAGAUGAAAAGCACCUUGAAAAGAGGGUUAAACAGUACGUGAAAUUGUUGAAAGGGAAGCGCUUGUGACCAGACUUGGGCGCGGCGGAUCAUCCGGGGUUCUCCCCGGUGCACUUCGCCGUGUUCAGGCCAGCAUCAGUUCGGCGCGGGGGAAAAAGGCUUCGGGAACGUGGCUCCUCCGGGAGUGUUAUAGCCCGUUGCAUAAUACCCUGCGCUGGACUGAGGACCGCGCAUCUGCAAGGAUGCUGGCGUAAUGGUCACCAGCGAC